Molecule: ribosomal RNA, 79 nt
Filed under: Lonsdalea populi
Lineage: Bacteria; Pseudomonadati; Pseudomonadota; Gammaproteobacteria; Enterobacterales; Pectobacteriaceae
Description: partial 16S ribosomal RNA
Rfam family: Bacterial small subunit ribosomal RNA
Source: RNAcentral
CCACUUUGUGAUUCAUGACUGGGGUGAAGUCGUAACAAGGUAACCGUAGGGGAACCUGCGGUUGGAUCACCUCCUUACC